AUUACCCAAUCCGGACACGGGGAGGUAGUGACAAGAAAUAACAAUACAGGGCAAUUGUCUUGUAAUUGGAAUGAUGGUGACGUAAAAUCUCACCAGAGUAACAAUUGGAGGGCAAGUCUGGUGCCAGCAGCCGCGGUAAUUCCAGCUCCAAUAGCGUAUAUUAAACUUGUUGCAGUUAAAAAGCUCGUAGUUGAAUUUCUGCGUUGCCCGACUCGGCUACUUGCCUUGUCUGGUUUCGCUUUUGGGGUUUUCCCCUUUUUACUUUGAGAAAAUUAGAGUGUUUCAAGCAGACUUGUGUCUUGAAUACUUCAGCAUGGAAUAAUAAAGUAGGACUUUGGUUCUAUUUUGUUGGUUUGUGAACCUUAGUAAUGGUUAAUAGGAACGGUUGGGGGCAUUCGUAUUUAA
Molecule: ribosomal RNA, 405 nt
Filed under: Babesia gibsoni
Lineage: Eukaryota; Apicomplexa; Aconoidasida; Piroplasmida; Babesiidae
Description: SSU rRNA
Rfam family: Eukaryotic small subunit ribosomal RNA
Source: RNAcentral